GAUGAACGCUGGCGGCGUGCUUAACACAUGCAAGUCGAACGGGAUCCCAGGGGUGCUUGCACUUUUUGGUGAGAGUGGCGAACGGGUGAGUAACACGUCAGCAACCUCUCCUUUUCUUUGGGAUAAGCAUUCGUAAGGGUGUUUAAUACCUUAUGUUCUGUCUGCCUCGCAUGGGGUGGGUGGGAAAGGCUUUGGCCGGCUUUGGGUGGGCUCGCGGUCUAUCAGCUUGUUGGUGGGGUGAUGGCUUACCAAGGCUUUGACGGGUAGCGGGCCUGAGAGGGCGUGCGGUCGCAUUGGGACUGAGAUAGAGUCCAGACUGCUGCGGGAGGCAGCGGGAGGGAAUAUUGCAGAAUGGGGGGAAAGGUGAUGAAGCGUGGCCGCGUGGGGGAUGAGGGGGUACGGGUUGUUUACUUCUUUAACUCUGAACAAGGCAUGCCGGUGGGUGUGUUGAGUGUAGGGGUGAAUAAGCGCCGGCUAACUACGUG
This 485-nucleotide ribosomal RNA is filed under the name uncultured bacterium. Its description in RNAcentral is "partial 16S ribosomal RNA". It matches the Rfam family "Bacterial small subunit ribosomal RNA", at positions 28 to 507 of the family's 1533-position model. The record is from RNAcentral.